This 253-nucleotide ribosomal RNA is filed under the name uncultured bacterium. RNAcentral describes it as "partial 16S ribosomal RNA". It matches the Rfam family "Bacterial small subunit ribosomal RNA", at positions 524 to 776 of the family's 1533-position model. The record is from RNAcentral.
UACGUAGGGGGCAAGCGUUGUCCGGAAUCAUUGGGCGUAAAGAGCGCGUAGGCGGUCCGGUAAGUCCGCUCUGAAAGUCCGGGGCUCAACCCCGGGAGGCGGGCGGAUACUGUCGGGCUAGAGUCCGGAAGAGGCGAGUGGAAUUCCUGGUGUAGCGGUGAAAUGCGCAGAUAUCAGGAAGAACACCCGUGGCGAAAGCGGCUCUCUGGAACGGUACUGACGCUGAGACGCGAAAGCGUGGGGAGCGAACAGG